AACGCGAAGAACCUUACCUACCCUUGACAUCCUAAGAAUCUGACAGAGAUGUCGGAGUGCCGAAAGGAAUUUAGAGACAGGUGCUGCAUGGCUGUCGUCAGCUCGUGUUGUGAGAUGUUGGGUUAAGUCCCGUAACGAGCGCAACCCUUAUCCUUAGUUGCCAACACGUAAAGGUGGGGACUCUAAGGAGACUGCUGGUGAAGAACCGGAGGAAGGUGGGGACGACGUCAAGUCAUCAUGGCCUUUAUGGGUAGGGCCACACACGUGCUACAAUGGGGCGUACAGAGGGAAGCCAACCUGCGAAGGGGAGCCAAUCUCACAAAACGCCUCGUAGUCCGGAUUGGAGUCUGCAACUCGACUCCAUGAAGUUGGAAUCGCUAGUAAUCGCGAAUCAGAACGUCGCGGUGAAUACGUUCCCGGGCCUUGUACACACCGAUAGC
This 440-nucleotide ribosomal RNA is filed under the name uncultured bacterium. RNAcentral describes it as "bacterial SSU rRNA". It matches the Rfam family "Bacterial small subunit ribosomal RNA", at positions 958 to 1397 of the family's 1533-position model. The record is from RNAcentral.